Molecule: long non-coding RNA, 2084 nt
Organism: Homo sapiens (human)
Lineage: Eukaryota; Metazoa; Chordata; Mammalia; Primates; Hominidae
Exons: 3
Source: RefSeq, a predicted model, not a curated record
UUCUCCCCAGGUGCCGGCUACACACUUAAACAAGACAUUUUAAGAUUCAACCUUCCGCUUGGUCUCUCCUGGUUUCUUACCAGCAUUCACUCGCUUGCAACAGAGGAUGCCUUACGCAGCGCCUCUUCCUGCCAUCAGCAUGGGGACCAGGCUGCUUUCCUGGGCCUAGAAGUCAUUACACAAAACCCUUCUUUCGUUCAAAACAGAUCCUCACUGUGGAGAACCUUUGGUUCUCAGGUGAAACCGGCGCCUCUGUAAAUAGCUGCUGGGGAAAACUGCUUUCGUGGGUGGAAGCGAGGCUGGUGUGUGAGUUUUAGCAUCAACAACCAUCUGCUCUUGGCUGUGGCAGAGGUUUCCAUGCCGUAUACCCUGCAAUGGAGGAAUUCCCUUUUCAGUCCUGCUGUGAGCAAGAAGAGAGAUCCCAGCAGGGCGUGCUUUGUCAGGAGCAGCUUUUAUUCAUGGAUUGGAUCUCCUUGCUAAUCUAGGUUCUGAUGGAAAAGAGACAGGCAGCCCCUGACAUCAGGGAGCCACAUGGCACACCCAGCCUGGUCUUGGCGUUCUCCUGCUGAGCACAAAUGACGUCACAGAACAUCAGCAUCCGCAUCAGACUGUGCCCACCACAGAGUAAGACCAAAACCACCCAUGGCGCAUCUGAACACAGAUCAACCGAAGAACCAAGCCACAGAAUGACAAUCACCCACCAUCCUGGCUGACAGGAGUGCAUCCCCACCAGACUGUGCCAGGUGGUGGAGGGAAGAUCGCGCCUGAGGCGUGGCAGUUCUGCUGUCCCCCAGGGGAAGGUUGUCCUUAUCCCCUCGCUGGGUAUUCUGCCAACUUCUAGAGUGGACGAGCUCAUGUUCUGUUCCCUCUCUGCUAGUCAGGGCCUGGUUUUGUCCAUGUGCCUCCUCCAGGUUCAGAAGAGCAACUGAGUCCCCUGAGCCUCUGUCCUGUCCUUCAGCUGAUGCCGGUAGAAUCCAGUUCAGCCCCCCAGGGUGUGGCCUCAGCCACUGGUCCUGGCCACCUGGGAGCUUCCAGAGACUCAACGAUUCAAACCCAAAGCACUCUCUUUGACCAUGCCGCUGACCCUCUGAAAUAUGUUGGGCCACCUUAUGUCUGUCUAGCAUAGCCCCCUUUCAGUCAGAUCCGGGAAGGGGAAAUGAGAACCACAGCUUCCCAUAAACUUCUCCCAUGGGUGAGGAGGGGGGCCCACCUACUCUCUUUACAUUAAAGUCCAUGGCCUAAUAAUCAUCAUCAUGAUAAUGGCCUCAUAGUCCCGGCCUGGCUCUUAGUGUGCUAAUCCUUUCUUACAAUCCUGCCUCGUCUUGGAGAGUGCACUAGUUCUGUGAAAUCCUACUUUGAAUUUCAUAAGCUGAAAUUGCUUUCUUUUCUUUGGAUUCCCUCUGUUUUCAUGUUAAUUUCAACCCUGCUGUUUCUCUGGGAGCCAAGGCUGAAGGAUGCCACACUCAGGGGAAAACAAAAGAAAAAAAGCUUUAGUAAUUUCCAACUCUUCCUCUCAUUCCAUUUAUCCCUUUGUUCCUUAUAGUGGGAGGGUCUGCCAGCGUAUGGGACUAGAGCAAGUAUGAAUGUCAUCUAUGCAAAACACCCCACGGUGGUAGCACAUCAUUAUAUUAAAGUUAAAAGGCAGGGGCAAGGGAAAACAGCCCUGUUUUUCUUUUUCAAUUUGGUUAAGUUUUAUUUUCCUGAUUCAUCCAGGAGACCUUUUCUCUAUAACUCUGAAUAUAAUUAACCCAGGAGUUGCGUAUAAACAUCAGCAACCAAGGACCUCUGUAAAUUUAUGAAAAUUAAUUGCAGCAUGUGCUGUUGAUGGACCACCCCGUACCUACUUCCUGCCACACGCACACACCUGAGUGUCCCUGGAGCUUUCGCAGACAGAUCCCUGCCCACUGACAGCUUCCCAGCUGUGUCUCACUGGUUCUCUGCCCACGAGGUUGCUGGGCACUGCACCUCAGGUCUUGUUCAGCCCAAGCUCAAGAAGCCCAGAAAUUCUGGGAUCUAACACUGACACCACCUUUGCAAAAAUCAUCACAGUGAGAAAAUUAUGGCAGUGAAAGAGAUUUGACCCA